GAUGAACGCUGGCGGCGUGCCUAAUACAUGCAAGUCGAGCGAACGGACGAGAAGCUUGCUUCUCUGAUGUUAGCGGCGGACGGGUGAGUAACAUGUGGAUAACCUACCUAUAAGACUGGGAUAACUUCGGGAAACCGGAGCUAAUACCGGAUAAUAUUUUGAACCGCAUGGUUCAAAAGUGAAAGACGGUCUUGCUGUCACUUAUAGAUGGAUCCGCGCUGCAUUAGCUAGUUGGUAAGGUAACGGCUUACCAAGGCAACGAUGCAUAGCCGACCUGAGAGGGUGAUCGGCCACACUGGAACUGAGACACGGUCCAGACUCCUACGGGAGGCAGCAGUAGGGAAUCUUCCGCAACGGGCGAAAGCCUGACGGAGCAACGCCGCGUGAGUGAUGAAGGUCUUCGGAUCGUAAAACUCUGUUAUUAGGGAAGAACAUAUGUGUAAGUAACUGUGCACAUCUUGACGGUACCUAAUCAGAAAGCCACGGCUAACUACGUG
RNAcentral lists this ribosomal RNA (497 nucleotides) under uncultured bacterium. Its description in RNAcentral is "partial 16S ribosomal RNA". It matches the Rfam family "Bacterial small subunit ribosomal RNA", at positions 28 to 507 of the family's 1533-position model. The record is from RNAcentral.